This is a long non-coding RNA of Daphnia carinata, 894 nucleotides long. RefSeq lists it as uncharacterized. Lineage: Eukaryota; Metazoa; Arthropoda; Branchiopoda; Diplostraca; Daphniidae. The record is from RefSeq and is a predicted model, not a curated record. The transcript has 2 exons.
UCGAGCGGAGGAGAAGCGCACCAAUUUCCAAUUAAAAACGACACAGCUGUAUAUACUGAGUUCGUGCUGCACAAUAUUUGAAUUCGAGAGACCAAAUCCAUUUCUCUGUUGGGACUCGAUUAAUUGGUUCAAAUAUUUGGAUGCGGGGCAAUGUUGUUGCCACUAGGCUAGGUCUGCACGUGUAGUUUACUUGCGUUUGGCAAUAUUGUCAAUGUUUACACUGCAUCUGUUGCAUACUGCAAACGGUUGUAUCUAAAAGUAUGGAAUUCGACCCGACUGACCCCUCACCUUCAACUCGUAUAGGAACCACUUAGAAAAUAUUGACCGACUAAAGGAACUCUCGCUUACAGAUGGAAAAGGUAUUACGGUGUAACUAAGUGGUGGUAAAACACAGUCCUCUUAGGACAAUGCCCCACGGGUAAGCAUACCCCUAUGUGCUAUAGACUGCUGGCAGAUAUUUACUUAUUAAUGGAACUGGUGCAGUAACGUUGCCCCAUAACCAAAUAUUUGAACCAAUUAAUCGAGUUUAAUUACAUCUGGUCUCUCGAAUUCAAAUAUUGUGCAGCACGAACUCAGUAUAUACAGCUGUUUCAUUUUUAAUUGGAAAUUGGUGCGCUUCUCCUCCGCUCGAUUAGGUACUGGCAUGAAAUGGCUAGGAAGUGGGAUAUAUAUAUAUUGGCCUGUGUGAAUCAUAGUGAAUCGUUCAAAAGCUGCCAUAUAUCCUGCAACGGUGAAAUAGGCAGUAACGUCGUCGAAAAACGCGAAAAUGCUUCGAACGAUUAUCGCAGGCCGCUGUCCAUGCCACACUUUAAUUAUACUGAUGCUCGCAAAUGCUUUGGCCAGCCAAUCGGUUGCGAACAAAGUGAAGGAGCCGGUACUUGAUGCGCGAGCGAA